AGAUUUAAUAUGAAAGAACAGUCCUUUUAUAUAUAUGUGUGUGUGUGUGUGUGUGUGUGUGUGUGUGUGUAUGUACGCACACACACAUGCACAUGCUAUGU
RNAcentral lists this microRNA precursor (101 nucleotides) under Ovis aries (sheep). RNAcentral's name for it is "miRNA (ENSOARG00000024623.1)". Lineage: Eukaryota; Metazoa; Chordata; Mammalia; Artiodactyla; Bovidae. The record is from RNAcentral.